CCUACGGGGGGCUGCAGUGAGGAAUAUUGGUCAAUGGACGAGAGUCUGAACCAGCCAAGUAGCGUGAAGGAUGACUGCCCUAUGGGUUGUAAACUUCUUUUAUAUGGGAAUAACAUGUUCCACGUGUGGGAUUUUGUAUGUACCAUAUGAAUAAGGAUCGGCUAACUCCGUGCCAGCCGCCGCGGUAAUACGGAGGAUCCGAGCGUUAUCCGGAUUUAUUGGGUUUAAAGGGCUCUUAGGGGGAUUGUUAAGUCAGUUGUGAAAGUGUGCGGCUCAACCGUAAAAUUGCAGUUGAAACUGGCAGUCUUGAGUACAGUAGAGGUGGGCGGAAUGCGUGGUGUAGCGGUGAAAUGCUUAGAUAUCACGAAGAACUCCGAUUGCGAAGGCAGUUCACUGGACUGCAACUGACACUGAGGCUCGAAAGUGUGGGUAUCAAACAGGAUUAGAUACCCGUGUAGUC
RNAcentral lists this ribosomal RNA (460 nucleotides) under uncultured bacterium. Its description in RNAcentral is "partial 16S ribosomal RNA". It matches the Rfam family "Bacterial small subunit ribosomal RNA", at positions 338 to 795 of the family's 1533-position model. The record is from RNAcentral.